This 44-nucleotide non-coding RNA is filed under the name Trypanosoma brucei brucei. The record is from RNAcentral. Lineage: Eukaryota; Euglenozoa; Kinetoplastea; Trypanosomatida; Trypanosomatidae.
ACAAAUAACAACAAUAGCCAAGUUAAUAGAGUGAUGAUGAUUAA